RNAcentral lists this ribosomal RNA (505 nucleotides) under uncultured bacterium. RNAcentral describes it as "partial 16S ribosomal RNA". It matches the Rfam family "Bacterial small subunit ribosomal RNA", at positions 28 to 507 of the family's 1533-position model. The record is from RNAcentral.
GACGAACGCUGGCGGCGUGCCUAAUACAUGCAAGUAGAACGCACAGUUUAUACCGUAGCUUGCUACACCAUAGACUGUGAGUUGCGAACGGGUGAGUAACGCGUAGGUAACCUGCCUGGUAGCGGGGGGUAACUAUUGGAAACGAUAGCUAAUACCGCAUAAUAUUGAUUAUUGCAUGAUAAUUGAUUGAAAGAUGCUAUUGCAUCACUACCAGAUGGACCUGCGUUGUAUUAGCUAGUAGGUGAGGUAACGGCUCACCUAGGCGACGAUACAUAGCCGACCUGAGAGGGUGAUCGGCCACACUGGGACUGAGACACGGCCCAGACUCCUACGGGAGGCAGCAGUAGGGAAUCUUCGGCAAUGGACGAAAGUCUGACCGAGCAACGCCGCGUGAGUGAAGAAGGUUUUCGGAUCGUAAAGCUCUGUUGUAAGAGAAGAACGGGUGUGAGAGUGGAAAGUUCACACUGUGACGGUAUCUGAACAGAAAGAGACGGCUAACUACGUG